RNAcentral lists this ribosomal RNA (601 nucleotides) under uncultured euryarchaeote. RNAcentral's name for it is "bacterial SSU rRNA". It matches the Rfam family "Archaeal small subunit ribosomal RNA", at positions 149 to 753 of the family's 1478-position model. Lineage: Archaea; Methanobacteriati; Methanobacteriota. The record is from RNAcentral.
AUACCGGAUAGGAAAACAUAUCUGGAAUGAUUGUUUUUUUAAAGGUAACGCUUAAGGAUGAGUUGGCGGCGGAUUAGGCUGUUGGCGAGGUAACGGCUCACCAAACCGAAGAUCCGUAGGGGCUCUGAGAGGAGUAGCCCCGAGAAGGGCACUGAGAUACUGGCCCUAGCCCUACGGGGCGCAGCAGGCGCGAAAACUUUACAAUGCACGCAAGUGUGAUAGGGGAAUCCAGAGUGCUUAUACAAUGUAUAGGCUUUUGCCAAGAGUAAAUAUCUUGGAGAAUAAGUGGUGGGAAAGACUGGUGCCAGCCGCCGCGGUAACCCCAGCGCCACAAGUGGGAAUCGCGUUUAUUUGGCCUAAAGCAUCCGUAGCUGGUUUUGUAAAUCCCUUGUGAAAUUGUUAGGCUCAACCUAACAGCGUGCAGGGGACACUGCAGAACUAGGGACCGGGAGGAGUCAGAGGUAUGUUGGGGGGAGCGGUAAAAUGCUAUAAUCCCCGAUAGACCACCUGUGGCGAAGGCGUCUGACUAGAACGGGUCCGACAGUGAGGGAUGAAAGCCAGGGGAGCAAACCGGAUUAGAUACCCGAGUAGUCCCUGGCCU